This 628-nucleotide ribosomal RNA is filed under the name uncultured fungus. Its description in RNAcentral is "eukaryotic LSU rRNA". The stretch from base 232 to 385 matches the Rfam family "5.8S ribosomal RNA". Lineage: Eukaryota; Fungi. The record is from RNAcentral.
CUUGGUCAUUUAGAGGAAGUAAAAGUCGUAACAAGGUUUCCGUAGGUGAACCUGCGGAAGGAUCAUUAUUGAAAUAAACCUGAUGGGUUGUUGCUGGCUCUCUAGGGAGCAUGUGCACACCUUGUCAUCUUUAUAUCUCCACCUGUGCACUUUUUGUAGACCUUUCAGGUCUAUGUUGCUUCAUUUACCCCAAUGUAUGUUAAUAGAAUGUUGUGCCUAUAUAAUAUAUACAACUUUCAGCAACGGAUCUCUUGGCUCUCGCAUCGAUGAAGAACGCAGCGAAAUGCGAUAAGUAAUGUGAAUUGCAGAAUUCAGUGAAUCAUCGAAUCUUUGAACGCACCUUGCGCUCCUUGGUAUUCCGAGGAGCAUGCCUGUUUGAGUGUCAUUAAUAUAUCAACCUUCUCUUUUUUGAGUUGUUUGGAUGUGGGGGUUUGCUGGCAUCUUAAAUGAUUCAGCUCCCCUGAAAUGCAUUAGCAGAACAAACCUGUUCAUUGGCGUGAUAAUUAUCUAUGCUAUUGAAUGUGAGGGCAGUUCAGCUUUCUAACCGUCCUUGGACAAUUCAUCAUUAAUGUGACCUCAAAUCAGGUAGGACUACCCGCUGAACUUAAGCAUAUCAAUAAGCGGAGGA